This 465-nucleotide ribosomal RNA is filed under the name uncultured bacterium. RNAcentral's name for it is "partial 16S ribosomal RNA". It matches the Rfam family "Bacterial small subunit ribosomal RNA", at positions 28 to 507 of the family's 1533-position model. The record is from RNAcentral.
GACGAACGCUGGCGGCGUGCUUAACACAUGCAAGUCGAACGGUGAACUCCGCUUGCGGGGGGAUCAGUGGCGCACGGGUGAGUAACACGUGGGCAACUUGCCCUCAGCUCUGGGAUAACUCCAAGAAAUUGGGGCUAAUACCGGAUAUGACCGCUGACCGCAUGGUCUGGUGGUGGAAAGAUUUAUCGGCUGGGGAUGGGCCCGCGGCCUAUCAGCUUGUUGGUGGGGUAGUGGCCUACCAAGGCGACGACGGGUAGCCGGCCUGAGAGGGUGACCGGCCACACUGGGACUGAGACACGGCCCAGACUCCUACGGGAGGCAGCAGUGGGGAAUAUUGCGCAAUGGGCGAAAGCCUGACGCAGCGACGCCGCGUGGGGGAUGACGGCCUUCGGGUUGUAAACCUCUUUCAGCAGGGACGAAGCGAAAGUGACGGUACCUGCAGAAGAAGCACCGGCCAACUACGUG